AGUUCGGAUCGCAGUCUGCAACUCGACUGCGUGAAGGUGGAGUCGCUAGUAAUCGCGGAUCAGCAACGCCGCGGUGAAUGCGUUCCCGGGCCUUGUACACACCGCCCAUCAAGUCAUGAAAGUGGGCAGCACCCGAAGACGGUGGCCUAACCCUUGUGGGGGGAGCCGUCUAAGGUGAGGCUCGUGAUUGGGACUAAGUCGUAACAAGGUAGC
Molecule: ribosomal RNA, 213 nt
Filed under: uncultured bacterium
Lineage: Bacteria
Description: partial 16S ribosomal RNA
Rfam family: Bacterial small subunit ribosomal RNA
Source: RNAcentral